RNAcentral lists this ribosomal RNA (141 nucleotides) under Vibrio parahaemolyticus. RNAcentral describes it as "partial 23S ribosomal RNA". It matches the Rfam family "Bacterial large subunit ribosomal RNA", at positions 1 to 133 of the family's 2925-position model. Lineage: Bacteria; Pseudomonadati; Pseudomonadota; Gammaproteobacteria; Vibrionales; Vibrionaceae. The record is from RNAcentral.
GUUGUAUGGUUAAGUGACUAAGCGUACACGGUGGAUGCCUUGGCAGUCAGAGGCGAUGAAGGACGUAUUAACUUGCGAUAAGCCCAGAUUAGGCAGUAAAAGCCACUUGAGUCUGGGAUUUCCGAAUGGGGAAACCCACUU